RNAcentral lists this ribosomal RNA (499 nucleotides) under uncultured Glomeromycotina. Its description in RNAcentral is "partial small subunit ribosomal RNA". It matches the Rfam family "Eukaryotic small subunit ribosomal RNA", at positions 591 to 1092 of the family's 1831-position model. Lineage: Eukaryota; Fungi; Glomeromycota. The record is from RNAcentral.
CCAAUAGCGUAUAUUAAAGUUGUUGCAGUUAAAAAGCUCGUAGUUGAAUUUCGGGAUCAAGGAAUCGGUCAUGCCUUGGUAUGUACUGGUUUUAUUGGUUCUCACCUUCUAAAGAACCAUAAUGUCAUUCAUUUGAUGUUAUGGGGAAUUAGGACUGUUACCUUGAAAAAAUUAGAGUGUUUAAAGCAGGCUUACGCUUGAAUACCUUAGCAUGGAAUAAUGAAAUAGGACAUCCGAUUCUAUUUUGUUGGUUUCUAGGAUCGAUGUAAUGAUUAAUAGGGAUAGUUGGGGGCAUUAGUAUUCAAUUGUCAGAGGUGAAAUUCUUGGAUUUAUUGAAGACUAACUACUGCGAAAGCAUUUGCCAAGGAUGUUUUCAUUAAUCAAGAACGAAAGUUAGGGGAUCGAAGACGAUCAGAUACCGUCGUAGUCUUAACCAUAAACUAUGCCGACUAGGGAUCGGAUGAUGUUUAUUUUUUAGUGACUCAUUCGGCACCUUACG